AUGCGUCAAGUACAAGAGCUUCUCGACAAAGGAGGCAUUAAUAAUAUUACUAUUCGUUAUCGUCAUCCUAUUCCUAGGCUAGAUGAUAUGCUUGAUGAAUUGAGUGGCUCUACAAUAUUCUCCAAAGUUGAUUUGCGUAGUGGCUACCAUCAAAUUCGUAUGAAAUUGGGAGAUGAAUGGAAAACAGCAUUUAAAACUAAGUUUGGAUUAUAUGAGUGGUUAGUCAUGCCUUUUGGGUUAACUAAUGCACCUAGUACUUUCAUGAGAUUAAUGAACGAAGUUUUACGUGCUUUCAUUGGACGAUUUGUGGUAGUUUACUUUGAUGACAUAUUGAUUUAUAGCAGAUCUUUGGAAGAACAUUUGGAACAUUUACGUGCUGUUUUUAUUGCUCUACGUGAUGCACGUUUGUUUGGUAACCUUGGGAAGUGCACCUUUUGCACCGACCGAGUAUUUUUUCUUGGCUAUGUUGUUACUCCACAGGGAAUUGAAGUUGACAAAGCCAAGAUUGAAGCUAUUGAGAGUUGGCCGCAGCCCAAAACGGUCACACAAGUGAGGAGUUUUCUUGGCCUCGCUGGAUUCUAUAGGCGUUUUGUGAGAGAUUUCAGCACCAUUGCUGCACCUCUCAACGAGCUUACAAAGAAGGAUGUGCCUUUUGUUUGGGGUACCGCACAGGAAGAAACCUUCACGGUAUUGAAAGAUAAGUUGACACAUGCUCCUUUACUCCAACUUCCUGAUUUUAAUAAGACUUUUGAGCUUGAAUGUGAUGCUAGUGGAAUUGGAUUAGGAGGUGUGUUAUUACAAGAUGGCAAACCUGUUGCAUACUUUUCUGAAAAAUUGAGUGGGCCUAGUCUGAAUUAUUCUACUUAUGAUAAAGAAUUAUAUGCUCUUGUUCGGACUUUAGAAACAUGGCAACAUUAUUUAUGGCCCAAAGAAUUUGUUAUACAUUCUGAUCAUGAAUCUUUGAAACAUAUUAAAAGUCAAGCUAAACUGAAUCGUAGACAUGCUAAAUGGGUUGAAUUCAUUGAGACUUUCCCUUAUGUCAUUAAACACAAGAAGGGAAAAGAAAAUGUUAUUGCUGAUGCAUUGUCUCGCCGCUAUACUAUGCUUUCACAACUUGACUUCAAAAUAUUUGGUUUGGAGACCAUCAAAGAUCAAUAUGUGCAUGACGCUGAUUUUAAAGAUGUAAUGCAGAAUUGUAAAGAAGGAAGAAUGUGGAACAAGUUUGUCGUUAACGAUGGAUUUGUGUUUCGUGCUAACAAGCUAUGCAUUCCAGCUAGCUCCGUUCGUCUUUUGUUGUUGCAGGAGGCGCAUGGAGGAGGAUUAAUGGGACACUUUGGCGUGAAGAAGACGGAGGACGUACUUGCUACACAUUUCUUUUGGCCAAAGAUGAGACGGGAUGUUGAGCGGCUGUUUUGA
This 1416-nucleotide ribosomal RNA is filed under the name Triticum aestivum (bread wheat). RNAcentral describes it as "partial small subunit ribosomal RNA". Lineage: Eukaryota; Viridiplantae; Streptophyta; Magnoliopsida; Poales; Poaceae. The record is from RNAcentral.